RNAcentral lists this ribosomal RNA (305 nucleotides) under uncultured bacterium. Its description in RNAcentral is "bacterial SSU rRNA". It matches the Rfam family "Bacterial small subunit ribosomal RNA", at positions 334 to 630 of the family's 1533-position model. The record is from RNAcentral.
GAAUCCUACGGGAGGCAGCAGUGGGGAAUCUUCCGCAAUGGGCGAAAGCCUGACGGAGCAAUGCCGCGUGAGUGAAGAAGGCCUUCGGGUUGUAAAACUCUGUCCUUAUCGAAGAGAGGUAGGUAUGUGAAUAAUGCACCUAUAGGACGGUAGAUAAGGAGGAAGCCCCGGCUAACUACGUGCCAGCAGCCGCGGUAAUACGUAGGGGGCGAGCGUUGUCCGGAAUCACUGGGCGUAAAGGGCGCGUAGGCGGUUUAAUAAGUCAGUGGUGAAAACUGAGGGCUCAACCCUCAGCCUGCCACUGA